RNAcentral lists this transfer RNA (99 nucleotides) under Chthoniobacterales bacterium. RNAcentral's name for it is "tRNA-Sec". It matches the Rfam family "Selenocysteine transfer RNA". The record is from RNAcentral. Lineage: Bacteria; Pseudomonadati; Verrucomicrobiota; Spartobacteria; Chthoniobacterales.
GGAGAGUGAAGGGUGCCUGGUGGCCCUCGCGGUCUUCAAAACCGUUGUCGGCUCCGCAUAACCGGAGCCGAGAUAGGUUCGAUUCCUAUCCUCUCCGCA